Canis lupus familiaris (dog) is the source of this 406-nucleotide long non-coding RNA. RefSeq lists it as uncharacterized. The record is from RefSeq and is a predicted model, not a curated record. The transcript has 2 exons. NCBI's taxonomy places the organism in Eukaryota, Metazoa, Chordata, Mammalia, Carnivora, Canidae.
AAAGGCAGAUGCUUCACCGACUGAGCCACCCAGGUGCCCAGAUGCAUUUAUUUCCGAUCGAUGCCCCUCUAUUACAUCUCUUGAGACAGCUGAAGAAAGAUCUUGCCCCACUCUGAGCACACACAGACGAGUCUGCCCCCGUGUGACUACCAGGCCACCAGGGCCUCCCGCAACCCAUCGUGGACCUGUUUGAGAAUCGCCCCACAUCCAAGUGACACAAAACCAGAACAGUAACCCAUCUGAAGAGAGACUUCAAGCUUCACUUUUGAAUCAACUGGAAAUUUGGACAAAACUUCUGUUGACAUAUCUGCCUCUUUCACUUUCAGUUCAAGGAGACUCAGUGACCUUUUUUAAAGGAUGUGACUCUCUUUGCCUGGCAAACAAUAAAUUCCUGUCUAUACAUUUA